Non-coding RNA from Lolium perenne, 346 nucleotides. The record is from RefSeq and is a predicted model, not a curated record. NCBI's taxonomy places the organism in Eukaryota, Viridiplantae, Streptophyta, Magnoliopsida, Poales, Poaceae.
CAAGGUUAUAGUAACGAAGAGGUAGAAGAGCUCACAAAAAUAAGCUGACAGGAAUUUCAAGCAGAUAGAAACCAUGCUGCAGUUUCUGGGUUCAGCUGCCAUUGUCCAGCUGGUGGUAAACAAGCUCUUUUAUGCCGAGGACCAAAAGAAGACCCUACAACAGACCGAUUACUUUAACAAAAAGGUUGCUCCAAAGGAGCUUGCUGAUGAAAUUAAGGCUGGAAAAAUUCCCCGAUGAGCUCCUUCUGCUGUGCUGACUCAUGUAGGACUUUUGGCCUGCAUGAUCUUCUUGCACAGGUACUUUAUCGACGAUGCGUGCCACUAAAGGUUCCCGUGCGCAUACAAG